RNAcentral lists this ribosomal RNA (458 nucleotides) under uncultured Pseudomonas sp. RNAcentral describes it as "bacterial SSU rRNA". It matches the Rfam family "Bacterial small subunit ribosomal RNA", at positions 924 to 1382 of the family's 1533-position model. The record is from RNAcentral. Lineage: Bacteria; Pseudomonadati; Pseudomonadota; Gammaproteobacteria; Pseudomonadales; Pseudomonadaceae.
CACAAGCGGCGGAGCAUGUGGUUUAAUUCGAAGCAACGCGAAGAACCUUACCAGGCCUUGACAUGCAGAGAACUUUCCAGAGAUGGAUUGGUGCCUUCGGGAACUCUGACACAGGUGCUGCAUGGCUGUCGUCAGCUCGUGUCGUGAGAUGUUGGGUUAAGUCCGUAACGAGCGCAACCCUUGUCCUUAGUUACCAGCACGUUAUGGUGGGCACUCUAAGGAGACUGCCGGUGACAAACCGGAGGAAGGUGGGGAUGACGUCAAGUCAUCGUGGCCCUUACGGCCUGGGCUACACACGUGCUACAAUGGUCGGUACAAAGGGUUGCCAAGCCGCGAGGUGGAGCUAAUCCCAUAAAACCGAUCGUAGUCCGGAUCGCAGUCUGCAACUCGACUGCGUGAAGUCGGAAUCGCUAGUAAUCGUGAAUCAGAAUGUCACGGUGAAUACGUUCCCGGGCCUU